RNAcentral lists this ribosomal RNA (337 nucleotides) under uncultured fungus. RNAcentral's name for it is "eukaryotic LSU rRNA". The stretch from base 1 to 125 matches the Rfam family "5.8S ribosomal RNA", at positions 30 to 154 of the family's 154-position model. The record is from RNAcentral. Lineage: Eukaryota; Fungi.
GCAUCGAUGAAGAACGCAGCGAACUGCGAUAAGUAAUGUGAAUUGCAGAAUUCAGUGAAUCAUCGAGUCUUUGAACGCACAUUGCGCCCCCUGGCAUUCCGGGGGGCAUGCCUGUUCGAGCGUCAUUACACCACUCAAGCCUGGCUUGGUAUUGAGCGCCGCGGCCUGCCCGCGCGCUCCAAUGUCUCCGGCUGAGCCGUCCGUCUCUAAGCGUUGUGAAUAGCGAUCGCUUGCGAGGCCCGGGCGGUUCGACGCCGUUAAACCCCCCAUUUUCUAUGGUUGACCUCGGAUCAGGUAGGGAUACCCGCUGAACUUAAGCAUAUCAAUAAGCGGAGGA